GCCAAGGUAAAGGCAAAGCGGCGGAUGUGUCUCUUCAAUUUCAUUUUGAAAGAUGUUUUCCUUCUUGUAAUAUAAUUUACAAGUGAAAUUUAGAGUCCUACAGAUUCAGACUGGAAUUCUAACAUGUACGCCUUUAAUACCGCUUGACUGUGGUACCUUUAUUCACCCGCUCAGCUCAACAUCGACGUUUCCAAGAAAUUUCCAGCCCAUAUUCAUUUCAACAAAUCAGAAAAGGGCAUUUGUUUGAGAUUUUACCUUGCUCUCUACGAUACCCCCAUCAGCCGUGUCUACUGCAGUAACUCUGUUAGAUCAGCUCAGCUCACCUGCGAUCCAACACUAACAGACAAUCAAGA
Lytechinus variegatus (green sea urchin) is the source of this 353-nucleotide long non-coding RNA. RefSeq lists it as uncharacterized. NCBI's taxonomy places the organism in Eukaryota, Metazoa, Echinodermata, Echinoidea, Temnopleuroida, Toxopneustidae. The record is from RefSeq and is a predicted model, not a curated record. The transcript has 3 exons.